Molecule: ribosomal RNA, 505 nt
Filed under: uncultured bacterium
Lineage: Bacteria
Description: partial 16S ribosomal RNA
Rfam family: Bacterial small subunit ribosomal RNA
Source: RNAcentral
GACGAACGCUGGCGGCGUGCCUAAUACAUGCAAGUAGAACGCACAGUUUAUACCGUAGCUUGCUACACCAUAAACUGUGAGUUGCGAACGGGUGAGUAACGCGUAGGUAACCUGCCUGGUAGCGGGGGAUAACUAUUGGAAACGAUAGCUAAUACCGCAUAAUAUUGAUUAUUGCAUGAUAAUUGAUUGAAAGAUGCUAUUGCAUCACUACCAGAUGGACCUGCGUUGUAUUAGCUAGUAGGUGAGGUAACGGCUCACCUAGGCGACGAUACAUAGCCGACCUAAGAGGGUGAUCGGCCACACUGGGACUGAGACACGGCCCAGACUCCUACGGGAGGCAGCAGUAGGGAAUCUUCGGCAAUGGACGAAAGUCUGACCGAGCAACGCCGCGUGAGUGAAGAAGGUUUUCGGAUCGUAAAGCUCUGUUGUAAGAGAAGAACGGGUGUGAGAGUGGAAAGUUCACACUGUGACGGUAUCUUACCAGAAAGGGACGGCUAACUACGUG